RNAcentral lists this ribosomal RNA (729 nucleotides) under uncultured bacterium. Its description in RNAcentral is "bacterial SSU rRNA". It matches the Rfam family "Bacterial small subunit ribosomal RNA", at positions 1 to 728 of the family's 1533-position model. The record is from RNAcentral.
GGAUCCAGACUUUGAUUCUGGCUCAGGAUGAACGCUGGCGGCGUGCUUAACACAUGCAAGUCGAACGAAGCACUCUAUUUGAUUUUCUUCGGAAAUGAAGAUUUUGUGACUGAGUGGCGGACGGGUGAGUAACGCGUGGGUAACCUGCCUCAUACAGGGGGAUAACAGUUGGAAACGACUGCUAAUACCGCAUAAGCGCACAGGACUGCAUGGUCCGGUGUGAAAAACUCCGGUGGUAUGGGAUGGACCCGCGUCUGAUUAGCCAGUUGGCAGGGUAACGGCCUACCAAAGCGACGAUCAGUAGCCGACCUGAGAGGGUGACCGGCCACAUUGGGACUGAGACACGGCCCAAACUCCUACGGGAGGCAGCAGUGGGGAAUAUCGCACAAUGGGGGAAACCCUGAUGCAGCGACGCCGCGUGAGCGAAGAAGUAUUUCGGUAUGUAAAGCUCUAUCAGCAGGGAAGAAGAAUGACGGUACCUGACUAAGAAGCACCGGCUAAAUACGUGCCAGCAGCCGCGGUAAUACGUAUGGUGCAAGCGUUAUCCGGAUUUACUGGGUGUAAAGGGAGCGCAGGCGGUGCGGCAAGUCUGAUGUGAAAGCCCGGGGCUCAACCCCGGUACUGCAUUGGAAACUGUCGUACUAGAGUGUCGGAGGGGUAAGUGGAAUUCCUAGUGUAGCGGUGAAAUGCGUAGAUAUUAGGAGGAACACCAGUGGCGAAGGCGGCUUA